GCCUAAAAUUAAGCCUAAACAAAAACCCAUGAAAAUCAUUACUAAAUCUUAUUAAACAAAACAUUUUACCAGUCCAGUAGAGGUGAUCAAAAAACUCAUUAGCGCUUUACUACAAGUACCGCAAGGGAAAAAUGAAAUAGUUCUGAAACAGCUCUAAAGCAAAACACAGCAGAGAUAAACACUCGUACCUUUUGCAUCAUGGUUUAGCUAGUCCCUUACAAGCAAAGCGAAACAUCAGUCUGUCCCCCCGAAACUAGGCGAGCUACUUCAAAACAGUUUAUAGAACUAACCCGUCUCUGUCGCAAAAGAGUGGGAUGAUUUUCAAGUAGAGGUGAAAGACCUACCGAGCCUAGAGAUAGCUGGUUAUUCAGAAAAAGAAUUUUAGUUCAACCCUAAGUCUCCUCAUUAUCAUAACAAACCCCUAAGACUUAAGAGCUAGUUAAAUAAGGCACAGCUUAUUUAACAAAGGAUACAACCUACAAAAAAGGGUAAAUCAUUUCACACUAAUUAAGUGGGCCUGAAAGCAGCCAUCUUCAAGAAAGCGUUACAGCUCCAUUUUUUCCCUUUUAACAAAUACCCAUAAACACCCUGAACCCUUUAUUACUACUGAAUGAUCCUAUACCUUUAUAGGAGCCCCAAUGCUAAAACUAGUAACAAGAAAUAGAAUUUCUCCAAAAUAUAAGUAUAAGCCAAAAUGGACCAACCAUUGGCAACUAACGUCACUGAACUUAAUAUAAUAACUCCCCAAGAAAACACUAUAACUUCUAACGUUAAUCUUACACAAGAAUAUUUCUGGAAAGAUUGAAAGAAGGGGAAGGAACUCGGCAAACUUUAACCCCGCCUGUUUACYAAAAACAUCGCCUCUUGACAAACUAUAAGAGGUCCAGCCUGCCCAGUGAUAUAAUUAAACGGCCGCGGUACCCUGACCGUGCGAAGGUAGCAUAAUCACUUGUUCCUUAAAUAGGGACUCGUAUCAACGGCAUCACGAGGGUUUUACUGUCUCCCCUCUCUAAUCAGUGAAACUGACUUCCCCGUGAAGAGGCGGGGAUAUAACUACAAGACGAGAAGACCCCAUGGAGCUUUAAACCCACUAACAACCCCAACUAAACACACCCAUAUAAACGAAAAGUUAUGUAUAGUGGUUUUAGGUUGGGGUGACCACGGAGUAAAACAAAACCUCCAUGAUGAAUGGAAAUCUAUCCUAAUCCAUGAGCCACCACUCUAAGAAUCAAAAAUUUGACAUAAAAUGAUCCGGUAACCGAUCAACGAACCAAGUUACCCUGGGGAUAACAGCGCAAUCCAUUUCAAGAGCCCCUAUCGACAAAUGGGUUUACGACCUCGAUGUUGGAUCAGGGUAUCCCAGUGGUGCAGCCGCUACUAAAGGUUUGUUUGUUCAACAAUUAAAACC
RNAcentral lists this ribosomal RNA (1408 nucleotides) under Limnonectes sisikdagu. RNAcentral describes it as "partial 16S large subunit ribosomal RNA". Lineage: Eukaryota; Metazoa; Chordata; Amphibia; Anura; Dicroglossidae. The record is from RNAcentral.